This 162-nucleotide small nuclear RNA is filed under the name Cyanoderma ruficeps (rufous-capped babbler). Its description in RNAcentral is "U2 spliceosomal RNA (ENSCRFG00000003947.1)". It matches the Rfam family "U2 spliceosomal RNA". Rfam says of the family: U2 is a small nuclear RNA (snRNA) component of the spliceosome (involved in pre-mRNA splicing). Complementary binding between U2 snRNA (in an area lying towards the 5' end but 3' to hairpin I) and the branchpoint sequence (BPS) of the intron results the bulging out of an unpaired adenosine, on the BPS, which initiates a nucleophilic attack at the intronic 5' splice site, thus starting the first of two transesterification reactions that mediate splicing. Lineage: Eukaryota; Metazoa; Chordata; Aves; Passeriformes; Timaliidae. The record is from Rfam by way of RNAcentral.
AUAUCUUGACAUGCUACUGAAAAUUCUGGAUAAACAAAAAGGGGACUGUAGAGAAAGAAUAUUAAACAGAUUUUUGGGCUCGGUAGUUGGACCUGGAGCUUGCUCCCUCCAUUCCUCGCAUCGUUCCAGUAUUGCAGUGCUUCUGGGAGCAGUGCACCUCUU